GUUACCACCCAUACCUCGGCUGUAUAGUGAUGACUUUGGCAGUUCUUCAGCCUCUUCUGGCAGUCUUCAGGCCACCUUUACAUGACCCAAGUGGCAGCGAUGUUCCUGGGAAUGGAUUUACCAGGACUGAAUCUUCCUGAUUCAUGGAAAACCUAUGCAAUGACCGGAUUCGUAGCCUGGCAUGUUGGGACUGAGGUUGUUCUGGAGGUACAUGCU
RNAcentral lists this long non-coding RNA (216 nucleotides) under Homo sapiens (human). RNAcentral describes it as "non-protein coding lnc-SASS6-5:2". The record is from RNAcentral. Lineage: Eukaryota; Metazoa; Chordata; Mammalia; Primates; Hominidae.